AUGAACGCUGGCGGCGUGCCUAAUACAUGCAAGUCGAACGCUUUGUGGUUCAACUGAUUUGAAGAGCUUGCUCAGAUAUGACGAUGGACAUUGCAAAGAGUGGCGAACGGGUGAGUAACACGUGGGAAACCUACCUCUUAGCAGGGGAUAACAUUUGAAAACAGAUGCUAAUACCGUAUAACAAUGACAACCGCAUGGUUGUUAUUUCAAAGAUGGUUCUGCUAUCACUAAGAGAUGGUCCCGCGGUGCAUUAGCUAGUUGGUAAGGUAAUGGCUUACCAAGGCGAUGAUGCAUAGCCGAGUUGAGAGACUGAUCGGCCACAAUGGGACUGAGACACGGCCCAUACUCCUACGGGAGGCAGCAGUAGGGAAUCUUCCACAAUGGGCGAAAGCCUGAUGGAGCAACGCCGCGUGUGUGAUGAAGGGUUUCGGCUCGUAAAACACUGUUGUAAGAGAAGAAUGACAUUGAGAGUAACUGUUCAAUGUGUGACGGUAUCUUACCAGAAAGGAACGGCUAAAUACGUGCCAGCAGCCGCGGUAAUACGUAUGUUCCAAGCGUUAUCCGGAUUUAUUGGCGUAAAGCGAGCGCAGACGGUUAUUUAAGUCUGAAGUGAAAGCCCUCAGCUCAACUGAGGAAUUGCUUUGGAAACUGGAUGACUUGAGUGCAGUAGAGGAAAGUGGAACUCCAUGUGUAGCGGUGAAAUGCGUAGAUAUAUGGAAGAACACCAGUGGCGAAGGCGGCUUUCUGGACUGUAACUGACGUUGAGGCUCGAAAGUGUGGGUAGCAAACAGGAUUAGAUACCCUGGUAGUCCACACCGUAAACGAUGAGUGCUAGGUGUUUGAGGGUUUCCGCCCUUAAGUGCCGCAGCUAACGCAUUAAGCACUCCGCCUGGGGAGUACGACCGCAAGGUUGAAACUCAAAGGAAUUGACGGGGACCCGCACAAGCGGUGGAGCAUGUGGUUUAAUUCGAAGCAACGCGAAGAACCUUACCAGGUCUUGACAUCCCUUGACAACUCCAGAGAUGGAGCGUUCCCUUCGGGGACAAGGUGACAGGUGGUGCAUGGUUGUCGUCAGCUCGUGUCGUGAGAUGUUGGGUUAAGUCCCGCAACGAGCGCAACCCUUAUUACUAGUUGCCAGCAUUCAGUUGGGCACUCUAGUGAGACUGCCGGUGACAAACCGGAGGAAGGUGGGGAUGACGUCAAAUCAUCAUGCCCCUUAUGACCUGGGCUACACACGUGCUACAAUGGCGUAUACAACGAGUUGCCAACCCGCGAGGGUGAGCUAAUCUCUUAAAGUACGUCUCAGUUCGGAUUGUAGGCUGCAACUCGCCUACAUGAAGUCGGAAUCGCUAGUAAUCGCGGAUCAGCACGCCGCGGUGAAUACGUUCCCGGGUCUUGUACUCACCGC
This 1408-nucleotide ribosomal RNA is filed under the name uncultured Bacilli bacterium. RNAcentral's name for it is "bacterial SSU rRNA". It matches the Rfam family "Bacterial small subunit ribosomal RNA", at positions 29 to 1393 of the family's 1533-position model. The record is from RNAcentral. Lineage: Bacteria; Bacillati; Bacillota; Bacilli.